UAGGGAAUCUUCGGCAAUGGACGGAAGUCUGACCGAGCAACGCCGCGUGAGUGAAGAAGGUUUUCGGAUCGUAAAGCUCUGUUGUUAGAGAAGAACGUUGGUAGGAGUGGAAAAUCUACCAAGUGACGGUAACUAACCAGAAAGGGACGGCUAACUACGUGCCAGCAGCCGCGGUACUACGUAGGUCCCGAGCGUUGUCCGGAUUUAUUGGGCGUAAAGCGAGCGCAGGCGGUGCUUUAAGUCUGAAGUUAAAGGCAGUGGCUUAACCAUUGUACGCUUUGGAACCUGGAGGACUUGAGUGCGGAAGGGGAGAGUGGAAUUCCAUGUGUAGCGGUGAAAUGCGUAGACAUAUGGAGGAACACCGGUGGCGAAAGCGGCCCUCUGGUCGGUAACUGACGCGGAGGCUCGAAAGCGUGGGGAGCAAACAGG
RNAcentral lists this ribosomal RNA (429 nucleotides) under Bacillota bacterium. RNAcentral's name for it is "Firmicutes bacterium partial 16S ribosomal RNA". It matches the Rfam family "Bacterial small subunit ribosomal RNA", at positions 355 to 776 of the family's 1533-position model. The record is from RNAcentral. Lineage: Bacteria; Bacillati; Bacillota.